CUGCCUUCAUUUCUUGGGCAUCCUAUUCCCAUGGUAUGGUGGAGGUGAAUUUUGAUGGAUUGGCAUCAACAAUGCUAGAUUCAUAGUUUCCCUUCAAUGGCAUAGAAAAGCCACUGAUGCGUUUCAGCUAGCCUUUUUUUUCCUCAAUAGGACGCCAUAAUUACAUUGCCUGCUAUAGAUACAUCCAAUGGAGUUAUAUUAC
This 202-nucleotide long non-coding RNA is filed under the name Elaeis guineensis (African oil palm). Its description in RNAcentral is "long non-coding RNA (EGUI_LNC079307)". Lineage: Eukaryota; Viridiplantae; Streptophyta; Magnoliopsida; Arecales; Arecaceae. The record is from RNAcentral.